AGAGAUUGACGGACAGAGAAAGUUCCUGGAUACGAUAGACCUUGUUCCUCUCUGAGAUCGAUAGCCGACGACCCACCUGCUUCCUCUGGUCAUCGCCGCGUCACAGCUGUUCCCUUGACGACCUAUUCUUAACACCUUUUUCCCUCUAAUCGCCGUCUUCAACUCGAUCUAUUUUCCACGGUACACCCUUUUUCAUCUAGAUCCGUGGAUUUUUAGCUAUUUUGUUGAAUUGAUGCGAAUUUAAUCUGUUUUCUAGGUCCUUCAGAUGCUCGACUCCAUCAGCUUUACUAAAAGCCACCAUCGCCUACCUUUUUGACUCGAUUUCAAUCCCCCUCAUCAUCAAUCUUUUCUUUGAAUCCCCCCGUGGCUUUAGGGUUUCCAAAACGAGCUAAUACGAUCCCAAGCUCGCCCGCCGUUACAGGUAGUUGUUCACAGCUCAACUCCUUCCCCUGCUUACUCGUUUCCGCUUUAUCUAUUUGAUCUUCGAUUUUAUUUUUAGGGUUUUUUUUUUUUAAUUUCAAAUGGAAACGUCAAGCACCAACAACGACACCUUCAGAGGCUCUCCGCGAAGAAACUCCUCGAUCCUCUCAGCUUCCAACCUCAUCCAAGCCCCUAUAUCAACCUUGCUAGAGUACUCAGGCCUUCUUCGACCGAGGACUACGAGUCCCACUCACGAGGCUGAAACGUUGGUUAGUAGCGAUGAUUCCCCGGGGAUAAACUCCAACGGAGGAGGAGGAGAGGUUGCCAUUAGGAUCAUCGGGAACUCGGAGCAGGAUGAGGUUGCUGAAAGUGAUAUCACUGGUGCCGCACAGACUACUGAAGUUCCUGGUUCUUCUUCUGCAAGUCCCGUGGGGGGAGGAACUGGGGAAGGAGGCGAAUCUGUUGGUGGAGAUGCUGCUGCGGCAAGCCGAGAUUCUCCUUACCAGAGAUACGAUAUUCAGCAGGCUGCAAGGUGGAUCGAGCAGAUUCUUCCCUUUUCUUUGCUCCUCUUGGUCGUCUUCAUCCGCCAACACUUGCAGGGUACUCUCCUCACUCCUCUUAUCUAUUGUUUGUGCUUUUAUAUUAUAUUCUGGUUUGCUUAUAAUGUUUCAUUUUCUUAGGUUUCUUUGUUGCAAUUUGGAUUGCUGCUGUAAUGUUCAAGUCUAAUGAUAUUAUGAAGAAGCAAACCGCAUUAAAGGUUUAAUAUUUUUUUUGCAUUUAUUGCUUUUUUUUUUUCUUUCUCAGUUUAAAUAAAUGGGUAGUUUUUUAAGUCUCAAUUUAAACAUGUCUUUGGUAUUGGUUCUCCAGGGUGAGAGGCAGAUCUCGGCUUUAAUCGGGAUCUCUGUAGCGUUUGCGGCCCAUGUGGUUGGUGUUUAUUGGUGGUUUCGCAAGGAUGACCUCUUGUAUCCCUUAAUCAUGUUCCCUCCCAAGUCCAUACCUCCUUUCUGGCAUGCCAUUUUUAUCAUUGUCGUCAAUGGUGUGUGUACCCCAAACUCUCUUUUUUUUUUUUUAAUUUAAUCAUAAAUUAUUAUAAAUAUCACCAUGUUACAUGCAUGUUUUAUAAUUUUGUGCUUACACAACUUGCAUAUUUUGCCUCAGAUACACUUGUACGGCAGGCCUCAAUGAUACUCAAGUGUUUUCUCUUGAUGUACUACAAGAACAGUAGGGGUCGAAAUUAUCGUAAACAGGUCAGUGUUCUUCUAUUCUAUGUCCCUUUGAGCUUUUUUUCACUUUUAAGCAGCGAUCACUAAUUUGGUUAGUUAACUUUUUUUUAUGUAGGGUCAAUUGCUAACUUUGGUUGAAUAUUUGAUGCUUCUGUAUCGCUCUUUGCUGCCUACCCCUGUAUGGUACCGUUUCUUCUUGAACAAGGAUUAUGGAAGCCUCUUCUCCUCUCUUAUGACAGGACUCUAUCUGACUUUCAAGCUCACUUCUGUAGUUGAGAAAGUAAGUGUUCUCUCCAGAAUUUCAUCACCCUCUUCUUCUUUUUUUCUGGAAUUAGUUGAUGAGAGGAAACUGGCAAUAAAAUUUGUAGGUUCAAUCCUUCUUUACGGCUUUAAAAUCUUUGUCACGCAAAGAGGUGCAUUAUGGAUCGUAUGCAACUACAGAGCAGGUCAGUGUUUAGAAAAUUCAAAUAUAUAACUAAUGCCUCUUUAAGAUUCAAUCCUAAACAAGCAAGAGAAAUGGAUGCAGGUGAAUGCUGCAGGGGACCUGUGUGCCAUCUGCCAGGAGAAGAUGCACACACCAAUUCUUCUUCGCUGCAAGCACAUGUUUUGCGAAGAUUGCGUUUCAGAGUGGUGAGUUGUUUUGUUGCAUAUAGCAGUUGUUGUUCUUUGUGUGUUGUUGAUGUUUGAAUGGAUGUUGAUUAUUAUGACUUGGUGCAGGUUUGAGAGAGAGAGGACUUGUCCUCUGUGCAGAGCCUUGGUCAAGCCAGCGGAUCUGAAAUCGUUUGGUGAUGGUUCAACCAGCCUUUUCUUCCAGAUAUUCUGAUUAACAUGCAUACAAAGUACAACGUAUAAAUAGAUCAUCCAUCACAAGCCCUUGGGUAGAGAGUAUUGCCGUUUAAGUUGUGCACGAAAGACACCACUACUGAUGAUGAUGCCUUGAAGAUGUUUAUACAAUCCCAUUUGUUAAUAUGAAAAUGGCCUUUUAUAUAUUCGUUAGCCUAAAAAGAAAAAGAAUUCAAUAUUCAGAAAAUCGUAUUUAUUCAAUAUGAAAAAGUUCUCACUACAAUUAUCAACAAAGGCAAGGAGGCUGUUCAUAAGCUUUACAGAGAAACACUUUUGCUACAUUUGAAACUUUUUUGGUCGAAAACCAUUGUUAUUCCACUAUCAGCUUCUACAUUUUUUCCCUAUAAAACAAAAGAUGAACUCUUUAGCAGCCUACUGAAAUUCGAGGAAAAAAAGAAAGAGAUUUACCGAAAACCUGCUUCAUCGCCAACAAGCACUUUCAUAAGCCUCCCCUUCUGCUUCUGUUCAAAGGAAGUCGAUAAUGGAGUUGUAUUCAGAUACCAACAAGCAAUUUUGCAACCAGGAACAUACUAACUAACACCUCUCUGCCCGAGAAAACUAGCUUGUUUAAUAUCAGUUCCAACGUUACAGUGACCAACAUAUCUACCCUUCAUAACAAUGGCUCCCUCUAAGCUUUAAUCGCCAAGAAACCAAUCGGGCAGACCAAGUAGAUAGUGUACAUCAAAUUAACACAUUCAAUAAGUAAGAUUGUGUUGUUUUGAAAUAACAAUUAAACAAAUCAUAAUCUGAAAACUAACAUGAUAAGAGGUUCUAUCAUUUUCUUUGCCCCCCAAAAAAAAAAAGAGGUACUAUCUUUUUGAGAUGACGUACGAUGCAGUUCCUGAGGAAGCAUUUAUUAGAGAUAAAUGUUCCACAUCGGAUAUUGGAAGGGAUCUUUAGUAAUAUAUAAGAUGGAUGGGCCACUCCACUUAUCACCAAUUGGUUAUAGGUUGGAAGUCCGUCUAGCUUAACAUGGUAUUAGAGUCCAAUCCAUACAGCCCAAAUUCGGCCAAUCGAUCCUUGUCCGAACAUUCCGAGAUUGAUGCUCAAAGAGCCAUCAUUUCGAAGGGGCGUAUUAGUGAUAAAUGUCUCACAUCGGAUAUUGGAAGAGAUCCUUAGUAAUAUAUAAGAUGGAUGGGCCACUCCGCUUAUCACCGAUUGGUUUUAGGUUGGAAGCCCGUCUAGCUUAACAGCAUUAUCACCACGCAUACCAUUCGAUUCUUGAUCUCGUACUCCAUCAUCUGACAUGGAGGUGUGAAUAUCAACCUCCAUUUCCUCAUCACAAUCACAAUAUUCUUCUCUUUCGGAUCUCGACAUAUCAUGUGAACUUCACUGUUGGCCUCUGAUCUAUAUAUUAUGUCGCUCAAAGACAGUACUCCAGUAGUUCCAGCUUCUGUCUCUUCGUUUUUUUCAGCUCCAGCUGAUUUUUUUUUCAAUUAAAAGAAACGUAGAUGAAUAUAAAUCGAUGCUUCAUCAAGGGAAGUGCCAAAUAGACUUGACGAUGAAUCUACUAAUUCAUGCUUACGACUCUUUUUUCAUGUUUAUGAUGCUCCUCUGCUUGCUACUUCAAACACAUCUGAACCGUUCGUUUUUACGAUUUAAUUAAAGAGCUGCUUUAUCCAAAAAAAUCAAGUAAUUAUGACAUAGCACAAGAUUAAUUUAGCGUUAAUUAAAUACGAAAUGCAUAAGUUUAAUUGAGUUUCACCAACCUCGGCCUAUAUAUUAUCAGUUCCAUUUUUCAGAGGUUCUAGUGACUACAUAUUAUACGGCAAGAUUAUCUGCAUGCAUGUGUUUUCUUGUUUUGGUAAAAUGUAAAAUUCAUACAAUUUUUGAAUUUUUUUAGUGUUGCAAGCAACUUAUUACAAUAGGAAAUAGAAACAAAGAAACAACCCAACUCUUUGAACAAAAAAAAAAAAAGAAACAACCCAACUCAAGCAAGAAAAGACCAUCAAGGUGGUCUGCAUGCAUGUGUUGGUAUAAUGGUAUAUAUCAUAUGUUCUAAACACAUCAGAGCCAUUCUUCUUUUGUAGUAGUUUAGUUACAUCAGCAAAACAGAUUAAAUUAAAAUAUAAACCCUUUUCAUGGAGUUUCUUCAUGAAAGUACAUCCAUCUUUGCGCAGCGUUGAAGGCGCCUAGUCUUGGUUCGUUAGCAUACCUAAUAUGAUUUUCACUUGAAGUGAAAUUGAAGAAACACAGUUUUAGUAUACUGACUAAUGAACAAAUUAAAGAAGCUGGUAUAGUAAACAUAUACAAAUAAAUACUAUUGAUCCAAGAAUCAAAUAUUCCAAAAGGUUUUAAAGUUACAGUAGAAAGACUAAUUUGACAUUGUAUAUGUUACUACUACGUACGUAAGGAUUAUGCAAUAAGCUGACGCAGGAAGAUCAGUGACGCAUUUUCUCAGAAAAAGAUCAGUGACGCAUUUGUUGUAAGAAAAUAUCCCAACAGAGAAGCUAAUUGACGAGAUAAAGAAAAUGCAUGGAAAAAUGGAAAGGGUUUAUAUAUGGCUGGCUAGUGUUUGUAAGUCUAUGUUGCGUAUCACAAUGUAAAUGAAACCUCCUUCAAGUCAAAUUCCAAAACCCAAUGUUCUGUGCAUCCCACUAUCACACUAUAUCCACUUAUUCGACUAAUAUCCUAUUCGUAUAAACGUUCCUAUAAAUCCUACUAAACUUCAUUUGCAAGACGAUAAUCAUUUUCCUCACCACAAUAGUCGGAGAUAAGCUCUCACGCUCAGCCGUAUCAAAUUCAACCGCUUCAACUAAUUGUGGCUGAUUAUACUUAUUUGAUUGCACACAGCUAACCAGUACAGAAACUACAACUCUGGCACAAAAAAAAAUAAAAGACCUUAAGAUCAAAAAUAUUCACCUAACAACACAUAAACUACAACUUCUCUGAUUCUGAGCUCAUCAAGUCCAAGCUUUGGUUAACUGUCGCCACUAAAUCAUCAGUAAAACCCAAUCAUGUUCCAUAUAUUCAAAGUGUAAUCUACGUAACUUUGACAAACCUUUUAUAGUUGGGAAUGAACCAUUCAGUAUAACCGUGAGUUAGAGUCUGCAAAAACGAAGUAGUAUACAUUCCAGUUAAAAGAUAAUGAAGAAUAAGAGUGGACUUGCUCAAGAACAAGAGAGAGAGAGUAAUUUCGAAACUAAGAGAGGGAGUAAAAAAGGAUAAUGUUUCCUUAAUUUUAUUGUCUUCACAUACAAUGAUAUUUAUAGAAACAUAAUAGAGAAGUGAGAUGGUAAGCUGGAUAAUAGGAUGCUCUAAAGGCUCCACCAGAUUUGAUUUCAAAUUUGAGUUCACACCUUAAAGUCAACACUCUUCAACAGCUCUUUUCGUCUCAAUAACUCAGCCACUCUCCAAUGGAGAGGUAGAUCAGCUUUCCAGCCAUCCUUCAAUAGAGUUUAAAGUCGCCAACUGGAGUAUCUUCAAACUCCCUCUCACGCAAGAUUUUGUAGCCUUCUUCAAGUGGUGUCUUAGCUACUCUUGCUCCAAGCUUUUCUGCCUCAUUUAAAAGAUCAAGCGUGUACUUUCUUUGGUAGAGCGACACAUCUCAAUUCCUAGAAAGUAUUUUAGCUCACCCAAAUCUUUAAUAUCAAAUGUAGACUUGAGAAAAGAUUUAGUAGAGGUGAUGAUAUCAUCUACAUAGAUCAGGAUCACCACAAUUCCUUGCUUGCUUGUGAGAGUGAAGAGAGUAUGGUCAACUUCUGAUUUUACAAACCCUCUUCCAUUGAGAGUUGCACUCAACUUGUGAUACCAAGCUCUUGGAGACUGUUUUAAUCCAUAGAUUGCUUUCUUCAAUCUUAGGACAUUUCCUGGCUUGACCAUGUCUUCCAUACUAGGUGGUGGUCUCAUGUAGACCUCAUCCUCCAGCUCUCCUUGAAAAAAAGCAUUCUUGACAUUCAUCUGCCAUAGAUCCCAUUCUAAGUUCACUGCCGCUGAGAGAAGAAUCCUUAUGGUGUGAAGCUUUGCUACUGGUGCAAAUGUGUCUAGAUAGUCUUUUCCAUAGACCUGAGUAUAUCCUCUUGCAACUAGCCUUGUCUUCUUCCUUUCUGGCUUUCCAUUAGCCAAAUAUUUGAUGGUGUAAAGCAGGCGACUUGUCACUGCCUUCUUUCUUUUGGGGAGUUCCGUUUCAUACCAAUUAUCAUUCUUAAUCAUUGCAUUGAUCUCAUCUUUCUUAUUGCUGCAAGUUGUUGAUGGUUUUCUUUACUUCAAAUAUUCUGGUGAGAUUUGAAGUGUUGCCAUACACCUUGUGCAAAGUAUCCCACAAUUGUUUUGGGGUUGUGCAGUGUGAGUGAAAGUCCAUAAGAGGACCAUCAAGAGAGCUUUGCAAGAUAGACAAUACUAUGAGAUCUUCCUGAACUCAUUUGCCUUCAUCUACCACUACAACCUCCUUGCCAUCUUCUCCUUGGGUGAUUUGCUUUGGAGAUGAACUUGAAGUGUCAUGCUCCCAAAGGCCUCUUCCUCCAAGGGCUGUCUUGGUCAUUCUAGACCAGGUAAUGUAGUUUCCUGGUCACUUGAGUGUGACUGGAAUGUGAACUUCUCUGUAAUGAACCAUCUCUUAAGCUGGCGCAAAGAAUUGUUUAAAAUUUCAAGAUUGGAUUUGAGAGAUAUCAACUCUAGAAAGCCAAGAAAUUUGAAGAAAACAAGAACACUAUAGAACUCAGAUUUAUUAUCCACUGUAUAAAAGAAAUAUGUAGAGAAAUUUGUGAAAUAAAAACAGAGAAACAAGAGAAAGAAAGUAACAGAGUAAGCUUGCGGAAGUAAAUGAGGUAAUCAGGAGCUUAAUGCUCUGAUACCAUAAAGAUAAUGAAGAAUAAGAGUGGACUUGCUAGAGAAAGAGAAAAGGAUAAUGUUUCCUUAACAGUGAUAUUUAUAGAAACAUAGUACAGAAGUGAGAUGGUAAGCUGGAUAAUAGGAUGCUCUAAAGGUUCCACCAGAUUUGAGUUCAUACCUCAAAGUCAACACUCUCCAACAGCUCUUUUCGACUCAAUGACUCAGCCACCUCAUGUCAUAACUUAGCAUCAUAACUCAGCCACCUCAUGUCAUAAGUCAGCCGUCUCAUGUCCAUAACUCAGCCACCUCAUCCUUCAUUCCAUAUCUCAGCCACCUCAUCACAUAUCUCAACCACCUUGUGUCAAUCUUAUUCAUGUCUUCAUGUCAAUACCAGUGACAAUAGAUACUUAGAAUACAAACAUCAUAUUCCAACGAGUCUAAGAAGCAUAAUGGGUCAACCAAACCUAACCCAAAUAGAAAAAAAAAAGACAUUAGAGAAAUCCAACAAAUAUUAUAUAUACAUGCUAAUUCACACAUAUACGUUAUGUCAUAUUUUUAAAUUUAUUAUAAGACAAAAUCUGUGAUAUGAAGAAUGUACAAAGCUUUGAAGCUAAAUCUAAUGCCAAUCAGUUUAAGAUUAUAAAAUAAAGAAUGAGAUACAACAUAUAUAAUGCAUAUACAUAACUUGGUAUGGAUAGACAUAAUAUGAACACAUAAUCACUAAGAUUCAGUGAAGAUCCAAGAAGGAGAAGUUAUGACAUAGAGAGAGUGAGCACGCAAAAGCAACUAUAUACAACAAACUUAAUUUUAUACAAUCCCCCCUUUGUGUGCUCGCUCUCUUCUGUCAACUUCUUUUUCCCCCAUCAACAUGUAACAUAUAAGCAUGUAAUAAAUUGAAGAGAAACAACAUAUGUGUAUAUAUAGCCAGGAAAAUCUAGCACAAAAACCGAUGAUAAAAGAAAGGAAAAACAUAAAAAGAGAGAAGUCGCAAGUACAGAACGAAGGUACUUGAGAUCAGAUUUGGGAAUAAUAACAACUAACAAGACCUCGAUCUACGGAUCCAUAAAAGGAAAGUAAAAUAUCUAAGUACGGACACUAACUAGGGUUUCUCUAAUUCACAGCUCUAGAUUUUUUUUUUAGAAGAACUGAAGCUAGAAACAAAGGUGAUGGAGAUGCGCUCAGAAUUGAAACUGGUAUAUGGAGAAAGAAAGGUUAAUCUUACUAUAAAUAUUCACUCUCUCCUUCAUGCAAAAUUAUGCAUAUGUGUGUGCUGGCUCUUUCUCUCUAUCAAGAGAGCAGCGAAUAUUUUUAAAACCCUAAAAUGAAUAAGAUCUGAAAACGUUUUCAAGAAAUUUAGAUUAAAUGGAAGCAGGAGAGAAAAUGAAAAACAGAGAGGAAGAUAUUAAAAGUACGGAUGGGGAAAACGCUUGGCUAUGGUUAGUCGGAGAGAGAAACGUGUCGCUAUCAAAAGGCCUAGUCUUUUGUCUUUGGUCGUUGAUUUGACUUAAGAUGCGCUAUGAGCCGUUGGAUGUGUCUUUCUUUUAUCAGUUCCGUCUCUUUGCCGUCUUAUCUGUUUAAUGUCCUUGUAAUAGAUUGCGUCAUUAGUGAAGGACACACGCGUGUCGCACCAUCUUUUCUUCGUCAGCUUAAAUCUGGAUUAAUGCUGACUUUAUUUUAUUUUAUUUUUUCGUGUCCCGGUUAGCAGGAGAUUUGCAAGUUAAGAAGCCACCUAGAGUCUUGAUUAGUUUCUCCACUCACGGCCUCAAAAACUUGCUUUGUUAAAAUGGUUAAAUGACCGUAGGAUUUUAACCAAGGAGUAGGAUAGUUAAUGAUUGAAUUUAAAUGUGGCUUUUGAUUAGGCAUGGGCGUUCGGGUCUUCGGGUCUUCGGACCGGUUUCUUUUGGGUCCGGAUCUUUUCGGAUCCUAAAUAUUUAGACUCAAUAGGUACUUAGAAAUUUCUGGUUCGGGUUCGCGUCAGUUCUUCUCAGGUCUGAGUCAAUUCGGGUCUAUAAUUAAAAUACCCAUAAAAUAUCCGUAAUUUUUCGGGUCUAUAUCGGGUCCGGAUCGGAUUCAGGUAUUUAGGAUCUGAAAAAGACAUGAUAUACCCAAUUCCAUCAACUUUAGUUGAAUAUUUGUCAUAUAUAUCUAAAAUUUUACAAAAGAACUUAAAUGAAACUAUUAAUAAUUAAAAUAAAACAUUUUAAAACUCUAAAUUUUACAUUUUAAAGCUUUAUAUUACUUUAAAAAUGUUAAAAAAUAAUAACAAAUGUUGUUAACAAAAAAUAUUUCAACUAAAUCAUAAAAUAAUAUAUAUAAAAUAGAACACAAAAACAUCAUAUUUUAGAUAUACAUGUUUUUAAGUCGGGUACAAAUCGGUUUUUAUCGGGUCGGGUCUAUUCGGAUCGGUUCUUUUCGGGUCCGGGUCUAUUCAGGUUGGUUCCUUUUCGGUUCCGGCUCUUUUGGGUAAAAAAAAAUUUAGACCCAAAAGGUACUUGUAAAUUUUCGGUCCGGUUCCGGGUCGGGUAUUUUUGGAUCGGUUCCGGUUUGGGUAUUCGGGUCCAGGUUAAAAUGCUCAGGCCUACUUUUGAUAAAAAAUUACUAAAUGUCAUCAAAAAUAUAUUAAGUGUUAAGAAAAUAUAAAAGUGACUUCAUUGUGAAUAUAAAACAAAUAAUAUAAUAAUAAGUUUUUAAUUAAAUAAAAUAUGUAUACAUGAAAAUUAUUAAUUUAUAAUUUUAAUGGGAUCAUAUAUUUACAUAGAUUUUUUCUUUAAAAUGUUAUCUUAUUAUUUUAUCGAUUUGUGUCAAAUUUUAAACCGGUCCGAAUUGAAACCGGUGAAAUUUAUUAAUUUAUAGAAAUUGUUAAUUUAUCGAAUAUAAUGUAUAGAGGUUUUACUAUUCGCGGUUCUGUUUAGCUUACUAUAAAAGAUGAAGUCAUACAUCUCCUCCUAACAAAAUAAAGAAUGUAAAUACUUUGAUUUCACAGUAAAUAGUUCAUAUAUAAAGUACUAGUAUUAUUCAAAAUAUGCUUUAUAAAAUAUGAGAUGAGAAAUUUGAAUAGAAUAUGAGAUUUUGAUACUUAAAUUUAACACUGUUUAUUCUUCUGUCUCACUUGAGUUCACAGUGAAUAUAGGCUUGUUUUAACACUAUAUCUUGUUUAUGUCAUAACAAGAACACAGAUUAGUUAUUUUCUUCUUUUUUUGCCAUCUUAGACCAUGAUUACUAGGGUUUUUAGUUUCGGGUAAGAGACGGUUUUUAGCUUUUCUUAGAUUUUAAUUAAAAAAAGUUAAGAAUCGUCUCUUAAAUAAGAGAUAUAAGAGUUGUUUCUCAGCCGAAAAAUGUAAAAAAAAUGUCAAAUCAUGAAUUAAGAACCCGGCUAAAAGACCGGGGUUAAUAAUGCUCUUAGUAUGUUGAGCAUUUUUUAACAAAAAUAUGCGAAGCAUUUAAAUUAAAACUGCUUUGCAAGUGAAAAACAUGAUUCAUAUCAGAGGGGCUGCGAGUAAAUAAAUGGUAAACAUUUCACAAAUCAUAGUUCAACAGAUUAGCUUUACUCAACCCCUAUGGCUGCACAUUUUUCGAAUCAACAUAGCCUAAAAUCCCUAAAAAGUCCUAUACUUUAAACCAAAUAAGACUCAGCUGUAUAAAUUAAAAACUCUUCUAACGGUACUUGCACAUAGACACAGACUGCGAAACUCUUGUCUAAGCCUCUUCACCCUCUUCCUCUUCCCCUUCUUCCUUGGGUUCACCCUCUUCCACUUCUUCCUUGGUUUCACCCUCUUCCACUUCUUCUCUGGGAGCUUCCUUCUCCUGCUUCUUCUUCUUUAGCAUACCUAAUAUGAUUAGUCAGUAUACGCAGUUUUAGUAUACUGACUAAUGAACAAAUUAAAGAAGCUGGUAUAGUAAACAUAUACAAAUAAAUACUAUUGAUCCAAGAAUCAAAUAUUCCAAACGGUUUUAAAGUUACUUUAGAAAGACUAAUUUGACAUUGUAUAUGUUACUACUACGUACGUAAGGAUUAUGCAAUAAGCUGACGCAGGAAGAUCAGUGACGCAUUUUCUCAGAAAAAGAUCAGUGACGCAUUUGUUGUAAGAAAAUAUCCCAACAGAGAAGCUAAUUGACGAGAUAAAGAAAAUGCAUGGAAAAAUGGAAAGGGUUUAUAUAUGGCUGGCUAGUGUUUGUAAGUCUAUGUUGCGUAUCACAAUGUAAAUGAAACCUCCUUCAAGUCAAAUUCCAAAACCCAAUGUUCUGUGCAUCCCACUAUCACACUAUAUCCACUUAUUCGACUAAUAUCCUAUUCGUAUUAACGUUCCUAUAAAUCCUACUAAACUUCAUUUGCAAGACGAUAAUCAUUUUCCUCACCACAAUAGUCGGAGAUAAGCUCUCACGCUCAGCCGUAUCAAAUUCAACCGCUUCAACUAAUUGUGGCUGAUUAUACUUAUUUGAUUGCACACAGCUAACCAGUACAGAAACUACAGCUCUGACACAAAAAAAUAAAAGAACUUAAGAUCAAAAAUAUUCACCUAACAACACACAUAAACUACAACUUCUCUGGUUCUGAGCUCAUCAAGUCCAAGCUUUGGUUAACUGUCGCCACUAAAUCAUCAGUAAAACCCAAUCAUAUUCCAUAUAUUCAAAGUGUAAUCUACGUAACUUUGACAAACCUUUUAUAGUUGGGAAUGAACCAUUCAGUAUAACCGUGAGUUAGAGUCUGCAAAAAAGAAGAAGUAUACAUUCCAGUGACAAUAGAUACUUAGAAUACAAACAUCAUAUUCCAACGAGUCUAAGAAGCAUAAUGGGUCAACCAAACCUAACCCAAAUAGAAAAAAGACAUUAGAUUGUAUGAGAAAUCCAACAAAUAUUAUAUAUACAUGCUAAUUCACACAUAUACGUUACGUCAUAUGUUUAAAUUUAUUAUAAGACAAAAUCUGUGAUAUGAAGAAUGUAUAAAGCUUUGAAGCUAAAUCUAAUGCCAAACAGUUUAAGAUUAUAAAAUAAAGAAUGAGAUACAACAUAUAUAAUGCAUAUACAUAACUUGGUAUGGAUAGACAUAAUAUGAACACAUAAUCACUAAGAUUCAGUGAAGAUCCAAGAAGGAGAAGUUGUGACAUAGAGAGAGUGAGCACGCAAAAGCAACUAUAUACAACAAACUUAAUUUUAUACAAUCCCCCCUUUGUGUGCUCGCUCUCUUCUGUCAACUUCUUUUUCCCCCAUCAACAUGUAACAUAUAAGCAUGUAAUAAAUUGAAGAGAAACAACAUAUGUGUAUAUAUAGCCAGGAAAAUCUAGCACAAAAACCGAUGAUAAAAGAAAGGAAAAACAUAAAAAGAGAGAAGUCGCAAGUACAGAACGAAGGUACUUGAGAUCAGAUUUGGGAAUAAUAACAACUAACAAGACCUCGAUCUACGGAUCCAUAAAAGGAAAGUAAAAUAUCUAAGUACGGACACUAACUAGGGUUUCUCUAAUUCACAGCUCUAGAUUUUUUUUUUAGAAGAACUGAAGCUAGAAACAAAGGUGAUGGAGAUGCGCUCAGAAUUGAAACUGGUAUAUGGAGAAAGAAAGGUUAAUCUUACUAUAAAUAUUCACUCUCUCCUUCAUGCAAAAUUAUGCAUAUGUGUGUGCUGGCUCUUUCUCUCUAUCAAGAGAGCAGCGAAUAUUUUUAAAACCCUAAAAUGAAUAAGAUCUGAAAACGUUUUCAAGAAAUUUAGAUUAAAUGGAAGCAGGAGAGAAAAUGAAAAACAGAGAGGAAGAUAUUAAAAGUACGGAUGGGGAAAACGCUUGGCUAUGGUUAGUCGGAGAGAGAAACGUGUCGCUAUCAAAAGGCCUAGUCUUUUGUCUUUGGUCGUUGAUUUGACUUAAGAUGCGCUAUGAGCCGUUGGAUGUGUCUUUCUUUUAUCAGUUCCGUCUCUUUGCCGUCUUAUCUGUUUAAUGUCCUUGUAAUAGAUUGCGUCAUUAGGUAUCUCCCACCCAACACCAAAACACUAUUUUAAUGUGAUUUUUACACCAAAUCUUCGAAAAAACGGUUUUUUCAUGUCCGUAUUAUAAAACCAGGGAAAAUACAUAUCCAAACAAUAUUAACGUGCCAAAACAUUUCUAAAUUAAAUAAAAAUUUAUCAUAAUAAAUACCUAAAACAUGCCUAUAGCCAGUUAUAUGAUGAUUUGGACUAUUUAAAAAAAAAUAUUUGUAGUUUGGUCACUAUAAUUCUAUUUUUUUGUUAAUAUGCCUUAAAUAAGAUAAAUAAUCAAAUUUCUCGUAUUUAUAAUUUUAAUUUGAAAAUUACAAUUUUAUUUUUUUACGAGAUUUUAACUAAAUUUAAAUAAUAAAUUUAAUUAUUUAUCAGAAAUUUAGAUAGUUAUCAUAUACAAUAUAUUAAUUAAUUUAGUUAUCAAAGUAUUUUAUCUACCUUAUUAAAACAUGAGAAUUAAUUAUAAAUAAUCUUACUCAUAUGUAAUAUUUACAAGAAAUACCACUCAAUUUAUAUUUAUAUAAAAUUUUCUUUACAAAUAUAGUCAUUCAAAUUUUAAUCAAUAUAACUAAAAAUACUCUUUAGAAAUUUGAUUUUACAGUAGAGAUCUUUAAUAAUAUUACCCUUAAAAUGGACUGACACGUGUCAGUUACGAGGCAUGUUUUAGUUAUUUAUUAUGAGUUUAGGUAUGCAAUUCAAAUUCCUAUUUAGUUUAGGAAUGUUUUGGCACGUUAAUAUUGUUUGGGUAUGUAUUUUCCCUGGAUUCAUAGUGCGGGCAUGAAUAAGCCGUUUUCCCCCGAAUCUUUUCUAAUGGAACAGCAAAAAUCACACUAUUUUAGUGGAAAACUAAAAUUUGACACCAAAUUUGGUGUGAUACUAUUCACCACAUUAAAACACUAUUCAUCCCACUAAAAUACUAUUUACUUAUUUUAUUACUAAAAUAUACAAUUAAAUAAAUGAUAAAUAAAAAACUUAAUACAUAUAAUAUUAUAAAAUAGUUUUAGUGUGAAGUUUAGUGUUAUGGUUGGAGAAGACCUUGACUUUAGUGUUGAAAUUACACUAAAAUAGUGUGGUUUUGACACUAAAAUAGUGUUAGUGGUUGUAGAUGCCCUUAGUGAAGGACACACGCGUGUCGCACCAUCUUUUCUUCAUUAGCUUAAAUCUGGAUUAAUGCUGACUUUAUUUUAUUUUAUUUUUUCGUGUCCCGGUUUGGAGGAGACUUUAGUGUUGGGUGCAAGGCGGGUACUUGUUUUUUUAUGUAUAUUUGAUAUUUGGCUUGUCUUGAAUGAGUAAUGAAUUUUUGGAUUUGUACUUGAAAUGUCGGAAACAAGUACUUGUUAUUUAGAGUACUUGUCCAAAUAUAUGUUACUUGCAUUUUUCGAUUACUUACUACAUACAAGUAUUUAUUAAUUAAUUGGAUAUAUUUCUAAGUUUUUAAGAAUUACUUGAUAGAUAAUAUUCUAUGAGAGAAGGUUAUGAAAGUUUGUUUUAUUUACUCGACUUGGUAAAAAACACGAGAGUUAUUUUAAAUAAAUUAUUUGCACCUAAUAUAAAAAAAAAGAAUGAACUUAAUACAUAUAUUUCGAUAAGAAAGUAUUGUUUAUUUCUUACAACAAAGAAAUAUCUAUGCAGGGCUUUCGUUUUUAUAGUUUAGUUAUCAUUUUUUCAGUCGUAAACACAAGUAAUGAGUAAUAUCAAGGCGAGUCGUAUUUUUUUUUGUGAUACUUAUUACUUGUCUUGUACUUGCAAGUAACAAAACUCAACGACUUGAUACUUGACUUGACAACGACGAGUACCUGAAAAAAUGAAGUGAAUACGAGUCAAGUAACGGGUAUAAGACAAGUAAUAAGUAUUCGUGCCCACUCAAGAAGACUUGCAAGUUAAGAAACUAUCUAGAGCUUGAUUAGUUUCUCCACUUGCAACUGCAAAAACUGAAAAUGGUUAAAUGACCGUGGGAUUUUAACCAAGGAGUAGGAUAGUUAAAAUGAUUGAAUUUAAAUGUGGCUUUUAUAUAAAAUUACUAAAUGUCAUCAAAAAUAUAUUAAGUGUUAAGAAAAUAUAAAAGUGACUUCAUUGUGAAUAUAAAACAAACAAUAUAAUAAUAAGUUUUUAAUUAUAUAAAAUAUGUAUACAUAUAAAUUAUUAAUUUAUAAUUUUAAUGGGACUAUAUAUUUACAUAGUUUUUUAAAAAAAAUGUUAUCUUAUUAUUUUAUCGAUUUGUAUCAAAUUUUGAACUGGCCCGAAUUGAAACCGGUAAAAUUUAUUAAUUUAUAGAGAUUAUUAAUUUAUCGAAUAUAAUUUAUAGAGGUUUUACUAUACAUGGUUCUGUUUAGCUUACUAUAAAAGAUGAAGUCAUACAACUCCUCCUAAAAAAUAGAGAAUGUAAAUACUUUGAUUUCACAGUAAAUUGUUCAUAUGUAAAGUACUAGUAUUAUUCAAAAUAUGUUUUAUAAAAUAUGAGAUGAGAAAUCUGAAUAGAAUAUGAGAUUUCGACACUUAAAUUUAACACCGUUUAUUCUUCUGUCUCACUUGAAUUCACAGUGAAUAUAGGCUUGUUUAAGCACUAUAUCUUGUUUAUGUCAUAACAAGAACAAAGAUGAGUUAUUUUCUUCUUUUUUUGCCAUCUUAGACCAUAAUUAACCACAGUCACUUAACUGGAGUUUUUAGUUUCGGCUAAGAGACAGUUCUUAGCUUUUCUUAGAUUUUAACUAAAAAAAAAACUAAGAACCGUCUCUUAAAUAAAAGUGUCUCUUAAAUAAGAGAUUUAAGAACUGUUUCUUAGCCGAAAAUUGUAAAAAAAAUGUCAAAUUAUGAGUUAAGAACUUCCGAUAAGAGACCGGAAUUAAUUAUGCUCUUAGUAUGUUGAACACUUUUUAACAAAAAUAUGUGAAGCAUUUUUUUUUUUCAAAAAUAUGUGAAGCAUUUAAAUUAAAACUGCUUUGCAAGUGAAAAACAUGAUUCAUAUCAAAGAGGGGAUGCGAGUAAAUAAAUGGUAAACAUUUCACAAAUCAUAGUUCAACAGAUUAGCUUUACUCAACCCCUAUGGCUGCACAUUUUUCGAAUCAACAUAGCCUAAAAUCCCUACAAAGUCCUAUACUUUAAACCAAAUAAGACUCAGCUGUAUAAAUUAAAAACUCUUCUAACGGUACUUGCACAUAGACACAGACUGCGAAACUCUUGUCUAAGCCUCUUCACCCUCUUCCUCUACCCCUUCUUCCUUGGGUUCACCCUCUUCCACUUCUUCCUUGGUUUCACCCUCUUCCACUUCUUCUUUGGGAGCUUCCUUCUCCUGCUUCUUCUUCUUUUUCUUGCCCUUCAACUUAUCAACCAAAAUCUGCAGAGGCUUGGAUUCAUCGUCAGAUGCAUGCUCAUCACCACCCACAUCUUCAUCUUCAUCAUCAGUCCUCUUGCUCUUCUUAGAGGAAGCCAUAGGUUUUGCCUCCUUUUCAGAGACAGCCUCUGAUGGAGACGAAGAAGCCCUUUUCUUCUUCCCGUUGGUUGCUUCAGAAAUCUUAUUGCAUGACCUCAGACGCGAUGCCGCUGCUACCAUCUUCCCCCCAAUAUCUCCCAUGACGCCAUUUGUCCUAGCAGACUUCCUGUUAGUCCUGCAAACAGUUUGUCCCAAGGUGUAACAAAGAUCACUGAAGAAACUCUCAUUGUAUCAGACAGACUCAUUAACCUCUAGAGAUUAUCGAUACUACCAAACACAACACACAGGAUCUGAAUCAAGACCUGACCAAGAAUAAGAAGAGUCUCUACUUACGGUUCUGGGAUAAUAUCAGCGAUCUCAUCGUCAGAUUUGUCCUGUAGAGAGAUAUUGAACCAUUAAUAAAUAAUCCACAACAGCAAAUCGACAGUAAAAAUGAUUAAACAACUCUCUACCUCAUCAGCAUUAUCAUCAUCAUCAUCAUCUCCUUCUUCAACUAACUCCCACCUCUCGUUGUUCAUAUCCAAGAUCUCUUUCUCGCCAUCAUCAUAAAAAACCUAUUAUCACACAACGUCAGCAAAGCAAAGUAAGGUAACAGACAUUAAUUGACUAAUUGAAUGCACCCUAAAUUGGAUAAUUAAGGAUCCUGAAAUCCACCAAACUCAAAUCAAUAUCAACAAUUCAUUUAAUGAAAGAUGUAAUUGAAUCUACAUCCAAGCCAGAUCUACAGAAACAAGGAACAUGAUGUGAAUUGAAUUGAAUUAUUAUUACCCGAUGUUUCUUAGUGCGAGAGUUAAACGAAUCAACCACUCCUUUGUAGAAUCUACACAACCAAACAGAGAUCUGUAAGAUUCAAACAUCACAAUUACUUAAAAAACCAAACUUUAUCGAGUUAGAUCGAGUAACUCACUUGCGAUCUAUCGGCCACCAAACCUUAACCUUUGAGCCCACCAACUCUUCACCAUUGCUCACCUGUUGCAAAAAUCAAUAAUUCGAAUCAAUUCUACUCAUCAAAAACGCAGAAACGAGAAGAAUCGAAAUUGAAUUGUACGAUCGAUUGGAAAACCUCAUCCUUCCCAGAGACACUCGAAGGUUUAGUCUUAGCAGCAACCAUUUUCAGACAAUUGAGAGGGAAUCUAGGUCGGAGAGAGAGAGAGAGAUCUUCUCUUACAGCGCAGUAAGAGGGAUGAAUUGUGAGAGAGAGAGAAUGAGGGAAGAUUCGAUUUAAAUUGGAGAUUUUUUAGGGUUCGAAAGGGUGUGUGACACAUCCAUUCCCCCCCUUGAAUAAUUGUUGAAACGAACCAACACAAAACGGCACGUGAGUUUUUACUACAUUGGAGUCGUCGGUCACGUGAGAGGGGCUGACCACAUGUUUAACCGCGUAUUACUAGUCCUAAUCCUUUCCACUCAUUGUCUGUAUGUCUUUUCUUUUCUUUUCUUUUCUUUUCUUCUGUCUAAAAGUGUUUAAGCCUACUCUUGGCAGAUAUUAUUAACGCGUUUGUACUAACUAAGAAAGUACAUUUUGCAAAAAAAAUUGGAUUAAAUAUGGUAAGUAAGAAAAAGCAACUUAUUUUUCAAAACCGAUGAAAUUGUCAUGUAAAACUCAGUGAUAUUUAAUAAAUAAAAAAUGUAAAGAUUAGUAGGAUAAAUAAAUGAUUUAAUUGUCGUAUUAAAAUAAUAAACAAAAAAAUAAUAUAUGAGUGUCCAAUUAUAUUUGAUAUAAAUUUGAGAAUAAAGUUAAAAACAAGAUAUUGAGAAUUUUUUUUAUCAAAAUAGACAAUAUCACAUUGAUAGAUAGUUAAAACAUUUGAUCGGAUUUAUAACGGACAUGUUCUAAAAGUACUUGGUUCGUCGUAACAAAUAUAAAAUAAUUUUAACGUUGCUCAAAACGAUUCUACCUUCCUUUGUGUCUCCUACACAGUCUGCAUUUAUUUCGGAAAGUUUGAUAAAAAAAAAUUAGUUAUAACCUGCAUGUUAUUCUAUACGUUUGUUACUAAUUACAGUAACUUUUAGAUGAUGCCAUUUAAUGUUGUUUAAACCCUUACUUUAUAUUUUUAGUGUUGUUAGUCUUCUGAUAUUUAGACCUAAUUGAAAAUGUGUUAUAAUACACACUACUGGAUAGUAUAUACAGUUAAAAUUUUACAAAUAAAUAAUGUUAAAAUUAAUAUAUUUUAUUAAUUCAUAUAAUUAUUUAAAAAACUUUUAAAAUUAUAUAUAUAAAGUUUUAAAAUAUUUUUAAUUUAUGAUAUUAUAAAUUAAUUAGAUUUUGUGGAUUUUGAAUUUUGUCUCUUUUAUCAGUUUAUUUGAUAUUUUAAGUUAUCAAACUUAUAUAUCAUAAAAUAUAAAUGCACUUUCAAUUAUAAUUUGAUAAAAUACGUUAGAGACAGAUUUUAUUUCAAAGAAAAAUGUAAAUAUAACGUUUUGUUUAUGUUUGUAUAAAUUCUACACAAGCUUUAUAUAUAACAAUAAUCAAUUCAUGGUUUUAAAUCAGAUUAUGUAUAUGUUUAAGAGUUUUAAAAAAAAUAUUAUGUUAUUAUUUUUAUCAAAUUAUGUCGUAUUUAACAUUGAUUUUUGAAAUUGAAUUUUUAAAAAUUUAUCAGAUUUAUUCAUUUAUAAAAAUGUACAGUAUAUAAGUAUUUAUAAACUAAUUUAUAUGAAAAUGAAUCCAUUAUUACAAAGCCGCAUGUUAUGCUUCAGGGUAAGUGGGAAGCACGAUGCUGCCUUGGCUCCGGGAUAAUUUAUUAAUGAUAUGAUGAGAAUCAGUAUUCGUAAUCCUUUAGUCCCAAUAAUUUUCGUUUUUAUUGGUCCUUGUUUGAGUUGGAAAAUCGUUUUGCAGAUUUUAAAAAAAUCCGCAAAAUCUGCGGAUUUUUUUAUUUAUAUAUUUUGAUUAAUUUAGAAAUCCAUGUAAUAUUUAUAAAUCCAAGUAAAAUAUGUAGAUUUUAAAAAAAAUCGGAUUAGUAUUUACAAAUCCAGAGGUUUUCCUCCGGAUUUGAAUCUUUGUAUUUUUAACAAAAAAAUCCAAACAAAUUCAUUCAAAUCCAUUAUAAAAUCAAAUUUAUUAGUAAAUCCGUACAACUGAAUAACACUUGAUUUGAUAUAAAAUUUAUGAAUCAUUAAACUAAUAACACAUGAUUUUAAUAUAGAUUUGAAAAUUAUAAAACCAAUAACACUAGAUUUAGUUCGGAUUUUCAAAUCCAUUAAAAUACAACAACCAAUAACCCCCAAUUCUUUUCUAACUAACAACAAACUUGAUUACUUUGGUGAAAGUGCAAGCAUAUAUAUUUUUUUUUUUUUGGGAACAAGAUUUGUCAUUGAAUAUUUUAUAGUUUUGGCCAAUGAAUAUAUCCUUUAAUAACAGAAAAAACCGUAACUGAUCUGAGAGAAAAUAUUAUACUCCUAUGCAAGAAGUUAUUGAUUGCUGAUGCAUGCAAAACAUAUGAAGCGUAUUCUCUAAGUUGUAUAUAUAUACGAAUAUACAAAGUCAAAUCAUAUUAUACAGUUACGCAAUUUUAUCUAUGAAAUAUAUGUUGACAAAAGAGUUCAAUAUGUUUGCAACUUUACUAUACUGUCUUCAUUGUAUCGCACGUUCAUGUACACUGUUGCAUUACACUAUAUAUGUAUAUUCCAGUUACAGCUUCACAUUAUGUUCUUGCACGAGGAGAACUAAAGAUUCAAUUACAUAGUACCCAUUUGUGAAAUAACAUCAUUGUUGUCGGACCAUCACCCUCUAUUUAUAUAUUUUGAUUAAUUUAGAAAUCCAUGUAAUAUUUAUAAAUCCAAGUAAAAUAUGUAGAUUUUAAAAAAAAUCGGAUUAGUAUUUACAAAUCCAGAGGUUUUCCUCCGGAUUUGAAUCUUUGUAUUUUUAACAAAAAAAUCCAAACAAAUUCAUUCAAAUCCAUUAUAAAAUCAAAUUUAUUAGUAAAUCCGUACAACUGAAUAACACUUGAUUUGAUAUAAAAUUUAUGAAUCAUUAAACUAAUAACACAUGAUUUUAAUAUAGAUUUGAAAAUUAUAAAACCAAUAACACUAGAUUUAGUUCGGAUUUUCAAAUCCAUUAAAAUACAACAACCAAUAACCCCCAAUUCUUUUCUAACUAACAACAAACUUGAUUACUUUGGUGAAAGUGCAAGCAUAUAUAUUUUUUUUUUUUUGGGAACAAGAUUUGUCAUUGAAUAUUUUAUAGUUUUGGCCAAUGAAUAUAUCCUUUAAUAACAGAAAAAACCGUAACUGAUCUGAGAGAAAAUAUUAUACUCCUAUGCAAGAAGUUAUUGAUUGCUGAUGCAUGCAAAACAUAUGAAGCGUAUUCUCUAAGUUGUAUAUAUAUACGAAUAUACAAAGUCAAAUCAUAUUAUACAGUUACGCAAUUUUAUCUAUGAAAUAUAUGUUGACAAAAGAGUUCAAUAUGUUUGCAACUUUACUAUACUGUCUUCAUUGUAUCGCACGUUCAUGUACACUGUUGCAUUACACUAUAUAUGUAUAUUCCAGUUACAGCUUCACAUUAUGUUCUUGCACGAGGAGAACUAAAGAUUCAAUUACAUAGUACCCAUUUGUGAAAUAACAUCAUUGUUGUCGGACCAUCACCCUCNNNNNNNNNNNNNNNNNNNNNNNNNNNNNNNNNNNNNNNNNNNNNNNNNNNNNNNNNNNNNNNNNNNNNNNNNNNNNNNNNNNNNNNNNNNNNNNNNNNNAAUUAAGAAAAUUAUUAAGCAUCGGAUAAGUUUAAUAAAAUAUUAAACUAUUACCUAAGAAAGUGUAUGAUGUUGUCAUUGACUGGAUUGGUCUUAUUUAACUUUUAAAUUUUUUUAUUCUAAUUCUUAAUUCAGGUUGGGUUGAGUUUAAAGUUAUAGGUAUGAAUGUUUUCUCUACCACUAAGUAGAAAGUUGAUAAAAAUUCACCUGCAUACCAUGAUUAUAAAAUACAAAUAUUAACUGAAAUUUAUGUGUAAAAACGAGUUUUUAAUUAUAAAAUAAGUAUCACACAAUAUAUGCAAAAACAAUCCUAAAAAUAUAAUAAAAUGAUUUAUUACUUUUUUCUUUAUUAAAUUAAAAUAUCAAACAAAACCCGUUGUAACGCACGGACUCAUAUCUAGUAUAUAUAUAAAGUAUAGCUUUUGGCAUGAACUGAACGUUCGUCAUAAGAAGAUAUAAGAAUAUGAUGGUUACCAACUUAACUCUAAUACUAUAAUUAUAUAAUAUAAUAAUACUAAUUACAUAAAAAAAACGAAAAUAAUAAUAAUGGAGGUAGGUCUAUAAGCCGGAAAGAAAAUUCGGAUAGAAAACCAACGGAAUUUCCGUGAUGCACAUUAAUAGAAAAAUGGUCAUCAUAUCAUAUUACAUUCACAUUAUUUUAUAUAAUUCAAUUAAUCAUUACAUAAAAAUUGGGAUAAAAUAAUGAGAAUUUGUACUCCAUACACACAACAUUUACCCUAUUUGCACUCCGUAACUUAUUUCCCCCCAAUUUUCUUUCCCACGUCAUUACCAAUUUUCCCUCAUUCUAUGAUAUCCCAAUUUGUUUAGUAUAUUAAUUUGCUCAGAAAUAAUUGGCAAACUGGCGAGAAUGUAAUGAUUGGCCCACGCUAAAACGUCGUCGUAACGAAGCUCCCAUCAUCAAUCGAAAACGGCAUCGUUUCGGGUGGCUCACACUUGUCUCCAUCGUUUCUCUCUUUAUUUACCACCCCCCCCCACCACCAACAGCCUUUCAUCUCUCUCCGGUUGACCCGAUAAAGUUCUCUAGCAGAGACGCACGGAUCUCUCUCUCUCUCUCUCUUCUUCGUAGAUCUGCUCGUUAUCGAACCUCCGUAUUACGUCAUCUGAGGUACGUUCCCCUUCUUCUUCCUUUUCUUGAAAAUCGAAUUUGGUCAAAGCUAGGGUUUGAUCUUCAUCUGAUUAUCGCAGAUCGGAACCUCUCGUUCUCAGAUCUAUGCUGUGUUACCAGAUCUGUAAUUAUAAUGGCGGAGACUCUCAAAGAAGACUCAAUCACGAUUCGGGAGGUCUGGAACGACAACCUCCUCGAGGAAUUCGCGCUAAUCCGUGAGAUCGUCGACAAAUUCACCUACGUCGCGAUGGACACGGAGUUCCCCGGCGUGGUCCUCAAGCCCGUCGAGACCUUCAAGCACAACAGCGACCUCAACUACCGCACCCUCAAGGAGAACGUCGACCUCCUCAAGCUCAUCCAAGUCGGCCUCACCUUCUCCGACGAGGACGGCAACCUCCCCACCUGCGGCACCGACAAGUUCUGCGUCUGGCAGUUCAACUUCCGCGAGUUCAACAUAGGUGAAGACAUCUACGCGAGCGAGUCCAUCGAGCUUCUCCGCCAGUGCGGGAUCGAUUUCAAGAAGAACGUCGAGAGCGGGAUCGACGUGGCUCGCUUCGGGGAGCUCAUGAUGUCGUCUGGGAUUGUGUUGAACGAUUCCAUCUCGUGGGUUACUUUUCACGGAGGUUAUGAUUUUGGUUAUUUGGUGAAGCUGCUGACGUGUAAGGAGCUGCCGGUCAAGCAGGCGGAUUUCUUCAAGCUGUUGUAUGUGUACUUCCCCACGGUUUAUGAUAUCAAGCAUUUGAUGACGUUCUGCAACGGGCUGUUUGGAGGGUUGAACAGGCUCGCGGAGCUUAUGGGUGUGGAGAGAGUUGGGGUUUGUCAUCAGGCGGGGUCGGAUAGCUUGCUUACGUUGGGGUCGUUUAGGAAGCUUAAGGAGCGGUAUUUCCCUGGGUCGACUGAGAGAUACACUGGUGUGUUGUAUGGUCUAGGUGUGGAAGAUGAUGGUACUAAUGUUGCUAAUUAAGAGGAAAAUAAUAAAGCAAGCUUAAUUAUUGAGAGAAGUGGAUUAUUAGGUUUUAGGAUUUGUGAGUGUGAAGAAGACCAAUUAGAACUUGUCUGUGUGUAAAUUGGCAAAAUUUGGUUUUAGUGACUCUUGUGUCUUUGUUGUUCUGUCUUUCAGAAAAACCCCCCCUUUGAUCAAAUUAGGGGUUUUUGUUUAGCUUUGAGUUUCUGAAUGUAUAUCAUCUCAGCUACCCGUUUCAUUAAUAAAUAAUCCCCAAAUUAUAAUUUUAUUUUGCUUUCUUGUUCUUAGUAAUGGCUUUGCAUACCAGACUUAUAUAACUUGCUAGUUAUAGAUUAAGUUAGAUUAACUUGCUUGGCAGAUCAUUGUUAUUGGUACAUUCAAGACGAUCACUUCAAGAAUUGGUUAACAAUGUCCCUUGUUAAACUACUUUGGCUUCAUCCAAAACAAGGCAUCGAUUCAAAUUGAUAAACAAAGAAGCUUCAUUAAUAAUUAAAAGAUUAUAUCAUUGUUUUGGUCUAACAUGUACUUUGAAAAAAAGAAAAACCAAAGGGAAAAGCCAAAGAUAAACUAAUCAUAAUCUAAACCGAAUAGGGGAAAACUACAUCUUAAGCACGUUCUCCACGAAUCCUUCUGGCCAAUUGAAUAUCCUUGGGCAUGAUGGUAACCCUCUUAGCGUGAAUGGCACAGAGAUUGGUGUCCUCGAACAGACCCACAAGAUAAGCCUCCGCAGCCUCCUGAAGAGCUAAAACAGCGUGGCUCUGAAACCUCAGAUCCGUCUUAAAGUCCUGAGCAAUCUCGCGAACAAGACGCUGGAACGGGAGUUUACGGAUCAGCAACUCCGUACUCUUCUGGUACUUUCUAAUCUCACGAAGAGCCACGGUUCCUGGACGGUAACGGUGAGGCUUCUUCACUCCUCCGGUGGUCGGUGCAGACUUCCUCGCCGCCUGUGUAAAAGAAAUUCGUUAGAGACAAAGAUCACAAACUUCAAAUUAAACCCAAAUUCGAGAAACCCAGAUCGUCUACGUUCAUAAUGUGCCCAAUUCAACCUAAAUCGAGAACCCUAGAUUCGAUUUCAAUUACAAAGGUAGAGAAGAUCGAAAGAACAAACCUUGGUGGCGAGCUGCUUCCUGGGAGCUUUUCCUCCGGUGGACUUUCUUGCGGUUUGUUUCGUACGAGCCAUUGUCUUCUUCUCAAAGAUGCGAACUUUUUGAGGAUUCGAAGAAAGUUGCAAGAUGCGAGAUUUGUUUGAUGAGAAACAGUAAAAAGGUUGUCUCGUAUAUAUAGAUGAUGUUUGGUCGGUUAAUUUUGGGAGAUACAGAAGAAGUACGAAGUUAAUAUCUUCGACGGUCCAGAUCUGUUCAAUGAUUUAGAUAGCUGAUGUGGCAAUUAGCGCCUUCGCUUUUAAUUGGCUCAAUUCUUGAAAUGAUUGAUGACGUGGAGAGAUAUGUGUUUUUUGAAGUUUGGAGUGAUGUUAAUUUCGAAUCAUUCGUUCGUAAUUAGAAUCUUGGGCAGAGACGUGUUUCUCGACUCUGAUUAGACAAGCUCCGGUUCGGUUUCGAAAUCAAUUAAAUUUUGGGUCACGUCCGGUUCUGUUUUGAAAACGCAUUUAAAUUUUAAAACUCGAAACUCGGUUUUAAUUACUUCUCCUUCACUCAGAAGAGACGGCGCCAAAUCGCGGUAACUUUUUAUUCUCCGAUGGCUUCGACAUUCGUCGCUCUCCAUGAUAGUUAACCAAAUAAGUUCAAGUAGAGCUUACGUUGUGAUAUCUUACCUGUUAAAACAUUGUUUGUGAUUUGAUGUCACUUCGUUGAUUAUUGUUAGGCUAGUAGAGUAAUGGAGAAACAUAACUCAUUACAUAGAAAGACGAGGGUGUGGAUGCAAUGUUGUCGUAAGCUAAAAGUAUUUUUGAAUUACGAGGAGGUUCGGACGAAGCCCUAAUCACAUCAUGUAAUAUAUAUUAGUUUCGUCAAUAAAGUAUUAAUGUUUUUGCUUCCGUGUUCGUAGUAGUAAUGGCAUUGUAAUUGUAACUUCUGAGUCGUCAAACUAGACAAUGUUCAUGGAUGGCUGCUAGUUAGACUGAAAAGAAAGUCAAGUAGUACAAGAGUUGGUACGUGCACUCGAACCUAUGUACAUCUUUCAACAAUUCUACAAGCAUGAUUCAAAACGAUAAAUCAAUGAUAAUCGUUUAAAAAAAAUAUACCAAUAUUUUUUUUUUAUACCAAUAUUUUGAUCAAAAGAGCUCUUGAAAGUUUAAUAACAUGCAACGUAAUCUAAAGUUGAAGAAAUAAACAUGAAUUUGAGAUUUCCAAACGAAGCCAUCUCUUGAUGCGGUCCGCAAUUUCAUGUUCGUGUCAUUUGAGGCCACUCUUUUCAAAACACUAUGCUCAGGCCAGUAUAAUCAGUUUUUGUUGAUAGCAUUGCAAUAAUGGACUCUUGAAAUUAUUAACACCUGAGCCAAGCUCACUAGUAUAUCUACUGUAAUUAAGUAGCAACUGCUCUCAUAAAUAAAGCUUUAUGGUAUCAGUUUAGAAAUGUAUCUAUGUUAAGAAAAGUUUAAAUAUUUUUCACUAAUGGAAUACUAGAUCUGCGUAAUUCUGAAGUAAUUGAUGGCCAGCCCGAAAUAAAAACAAAAGUAAAGUAGUGACAAUGGGUAUUGCCUCUCUCUAUUGGCUCGGCCCAACAUUUUAUAACAACAAGGUUGGUUUUAAAAUAUUUCUAAACAACAUUCUUGAAUACAGCUAAGUUGAGUCACAUUGGAUUCCGAGGGUAAUGGAAUCCAGAAAAUAAGAAAAGAUAAACUAUGUGCUAUUUCAGAAUGGCCUAAGAUUCCCAAAUAGAUGUCAAAUGCAUAACUAAAAGUAGGCAAACAAUGUGGACAGAUAUGGACAACACAAAGAAGCAUUGAAGAUGAACGCAGAAGAGUGGAGAAGUGGUCCAUUAUAGAAUUUAAUUGCAUUUUGAAAGUGCUUUUUUUUUUUGUGUGUCUGUGGUCCAAUUUUGGAAGUGAACAAAGCCUAACUUUGGGGUUCUUAAGAGAAGCAGACAAAUUUCCUUCUCCUAGUUUUACCAUGACAUUAUAAAAAUAUAUGUAACAUGUUUUAACACUUCAUUUAGAUAGUUAUACUUAUUUCUAAAAGCAUAUUUGGAAUGAAUCGAGUGAGACAGAUAUACAUCACUAGAUUCACUAGAACAUACGACUCAUAGCUGAUUUAUCUACAGAUUUUUUUCCCCACUUUUUAUAAAGAAAGAAGACUAGUAAUACCAUUUAUCUUUCAUUGGUCAAGAGACGAAACACAAAACAACUAUUACUAUUAAAAAAAACACUUCCCAAAGUUUUUCACUUCCAAAAUAUAUAAAACAAAGUUUGAAAAAAUGACAAAACAUAUUACCAGUCAUAACUGUAUUCUCUUAACAAAUAAUUAACGGUUGUGUCUAAUCACCAAAACCAAAAAGAACUUGAUGAGUAGGACGAAGAAACCAAAUACUUUUUUCAGCUAUGUGGAUAAACCCAAUCUCUCCCUCUCUAUCGUUCACCCGGGACCAAGCCACCUUUAAUCUUCUACGGUUUGUCUACUUUGAAACGUUUCUAUCUUCUUCUUUUCUUUUUUGGUUGGAUAGUUUUAACCUUUUCCUUACUUUCUCUAUUAUUUGAUAUGAUCAUUUAGAGUUCCUAAAAUCAUGGUGGUUUUGGGCUACAGUACUUUUCUGUUCUUUUUUUAAUUGGAGCAAAGAUCUGAAUAUUAUAAUGUUUUGAUAAAUGAGCUGAUGUAGGAAUUUUUAAAUCAUUGACUAACAAACAACUUUCCAAAUCAAUGAACAUGUUCUCAACAGUGUUAUGAACGUUAUGAGACAAACGAAAUUCAAUCGAAAAACAUUCGUGGCCGCUUGUCUAUGUAUAUAAUUAUGCCUGCAAAGACAUGGAGGAACAACUUUGGCAGCGUUGCAAAGCAAAGUGAAAGAUGAGGAUAAAACAUCGGGGACGUUCCAUCAUUUUCGUACAUGAACCUGACAUAAAGCUUCCUAUGUUCUUUCUUUAAUCUUUCUUUCUUUAUAAUAUAUGAAGUAUUUGUGCUUUUCUAACUAAUAAUGUGUCGAUGUUAUUAUUGUCUAUGUUGUUAGCUAGUUUUUUAGUCUUCAUUGAUCACAAGCCAAGCGUAUAACAACUAAAUUAGCAAAAACAAAGCACCCCUAUCCAAGGCCGGCUGAGGAGGGGACAACCGGUGCGACCAUCCCGGAUCUAAGCCUGUGUCCUCCGUAUAUUAAUAGUUAAGAGGUCCAAUUUUUUUAAAAAACCUAUAUUUUUAUAUUAAAAAAAUUAUAAAUAUAAUAAAUAAAAUUGAAUACAUAUAAUUUUAUUUUCAUCACAAAAUAUACAAAAUAUUACUGAUUAAAUUUUAGAAAUAUUUUAAACAUUACCUGAAUAUAAAUUUUUGAGAAUAAAAAAAUAUUUUUUGCCAUAAGGUCCAUAACAAUGUUAACCCGGUCCUACCCCUAUUAAAUGAAACCUAACAACAUAGACAACAAUGGAGCUGCUACAUAACCAUCGUCCCCUUAUCAGCCUCAUUGUCUUUCCAUGAAUAAUUUUGUAAGAAAAAUAAUAGUUUUCAUUUUAAGAUGGAUGGAGAGAUAAGUCUAGUGUAUAAAUUUAGGAGCAUUUUGAUAAUUACCAAUCUAUAAUCUUCAGCUUAAAAUUUAAGUACCUAGCUAGUCUAAUUCACAAUAUGUUUCUAAUGUUUAUUUAAGUAUUUGACAUAAUUCAUAUUUGCUGGAAACAAAAAGGCACCAUAAUUAAUUAUGGUUAUUUGCUCUGAGAUGCCCUUUUUUGUCUUGUGAUCGAUAUAUACAAUUAAAUUGUGAUAGUUGACAUAUGACCAGCAAUCCCUAUGAGCAUCACAUACAUCCCUGUUUGUAGGCUAAUAUCAUUAUAUUAUAAACUCGACAUAUUAUAAGUUCCAUAUUAUAUACUAAUUGGGAAAAUAAUGUUAAUAAUAAUGUCAGUUAAAUACCAGAAUCUGUCGGAAACCACUCUUUUUUGGGUCCGAGUUUAGUGUUUUCAACAUUUUCUUUAGACCAUCUCAAAUGUAUUCUUCAAUUUUCUCUCCAAUGUAUUUCUCUAUUUUUUCUCUAUAAAGGAAUAUUCUUAAAAGAUUUUUUUUUAUUUUAUAAAUAAACAUUUAACUUAUAAAUGUUGCAAAUUAACCCAUUUAUUAUAACUUUUAAUUUUUUUCAUAAAAUUGCAAUAUUAUUUAAAUUAAACAUUUUAUUAAAAAUGACAUUAGAAAAUAAUAAUAAAACAAAAUAGACAUUAUCUAACCAUCUCAUUACUAUAUUUUCCCAUAAAUGGUCAAUUAAUACAUUCCGAAGUGAGAAAUGAGCUUCUUUAUUUUUGAUUUUUCUGAAUCAACUUAGAAACUCUUGGAACCGAUUAUCUUCAUCAUCUGGUAUUUGGACUUCUAGUGGUGGAGCUUCUCUUCCAAUACACUAUAAGAAAGAAAUAAACAAUUCUUAGAGAACCUAAAGAAGUCAAGUGAACAAAGACAAACAUCAGUUGGAGAUUCAAAGACAAAAUUUUGCUUUAAAACAGAUGAAGGAAAUUUUUUUUUUUUUGUGACGUAAAUUCCAUUGUCUGUGAACAUUUCCAAGUAAAGAAAGCACAUAUUUUACAAAAGCGCAGUCACUAGCAACAAAAUAAGCAAACUCCUCCUCCACCCACGUCGUUUGGACAAUAUUUUAACAUUUUUUGUGGAUCCGGAAGUAAUUUACCGGAGUAUUAAGUUGUUUCAACAUGUUGUAUUGAUUAAUAUUUAAGUAUUAAGUUGUUUCAAUAUUUAAGUUUAAUUUUAAUAUGUUAUCAAUAUGUAAAAUUAUGUUAAACUUUUAAUAAUUAAAUUUAAAUUAAUAGUUUUAAUUAUCAAUAUAAAAUUUUAGAUAUCAUUCAUUAAAUAAAAAGUCUGACUUUAAAUUAAAUAAUUAGUAUGUAAACAUAAAAUAAUUAGAUAUCUUUUUAUUUAUUUUAUUUAUAUAUAAAAAUUAAAAAUUAGUAUGUAAACAAAAAUCUGUGCAUUUAUAUGUUAAAAUUGUAUUUCUUCGUAAACAUGUAUUUUAGUUAUAAUCACAAAAGUUAAAUGACUACUUUGUAAAUAAAAAAGCACAUCUCUAUUAUAGAGGAAUGCUAUUUUUUCCCCUAAAUAUAGAGGAAAAAAUAGCAAUCUCUAUUAUAGGGAAAGNNNNNNNNNNNNNNNNNNNNNNNNNNNNNNNNNNNNNNNNNNNNNNNNNNNNNNNNNNNNNNNNNNNNNNNNNNNNNNNNNNNNNNNNNNNNNNNGGGAAAGAAAUAGAGGUGGGUUGGAGUAGAUUUUUCUCUAUUAUAGCAUAUAGAGGCAAAUAUAAGGGUGGGUUGGAGAUGUUUAGUAGAUUUAUAGACUUGUGAAAUUAUUAAAAAGAAAAAAAAAGAAGAACAUAUAUAUUUGAUUGAAAAAACAAGAAAAGAUAGACAAUUGAUGGUUUUUGUUAACAACCACACUGUCAUUUACUAAAAAAUAUUAAUAAUUUUGUUUAUGUCGCUAAUAUGGACAGCAUAAGGCGAUGAUUGGUAAGUGAUGUAGCUUUAUAUUUUUUGCUGUAGAAUUUAAUCUGUAGAUGUAUUUGCUGUAACUUUUCUUGCUGUAGAUUUCUAAAGCACUAAUUUUUUGCUUUGGAAAUAAAGCUUUUUACAGCCAUAUUUUGAUUUUGCAGAGAUUUUUUUGCUGUGAGUUUUUUAAGGAAAUCAAAACUCGAUUGAUUGACAUAUAUAGCUGUGGACUAAAUUUUAGCUGUCCAGAGCAUCUACAGUCCCAACCAAUAUCUCCUAAAUCUCUGAUUAAGAUUCUCCCUACUACGGUACCAGCCUACUCUCAUCUUGGUCCGGAGACAAUAAACAUGAGUAGGUCCAAAUCCAUUUUCAAGAAAAAUCUUAGUAUGUAUUAUUUGCGUAACAUUUAUGUUAAUGUGAGUGAUUAAUAGUUUGUAGGUUAAUAUUUAAUUAAGAAAAAGAAAGAAAAACAAUACUCCAGAGGAGAGUAGUCAUUACUAUUCAAAUUAGUCGAGCCGUGAAACAUAGGGCACUUCAUGUGGGGACAAGAGUGGUUAUGAAAUUGACGAAUGUGAUCGUUAAUGUGACUCCCUUCGUCCACUCACGUGUUAGUUGAUUCCACACGAAACACAGACCUGAUCACGCCGGAUGUUCUCUCGACGCAUGUACUACUCUUUGAUUAACAAUCAUCACGCACCUCACUGUUUGGAUAUUUUUCUUUGUUGUGGUAAUUUAGUCGUCGCAUUUAUCGGCUCUCGCGUGUAAAACGAGAAGCUUGCAAAUUUUUUUAAAAAUCUAACAAUAUAUUUACUCGCAAGCGAGAAACUUACAAAAAUCUAUAUUUAUUAAUGCCAGAUCUUUGGAUGCGGUCAAAUGGCUACAAACUCUCAUUAUUGGGUAGUUUUUUUCUUUAGCAAUUAUUUGACCACUGGUGACUAGUUUCAUAUUAAUGUCAAUUAUUGUACCAGUUAAAUAUAGUUUCCCAAAAAUAAUUUCACGAAUAUAUUUGACUUUUUAUUACAUGUAUUCAUUCUUACAUAACGGAGGCUACAUUAAAACGGAGCGAUUGGUAUAAAAGCAAAGUAGUAUGAUCUGAAAAUAUCUUAAACAAAGUAGUUAGAGAGAAAGUAGUGGAUGUAGAGAGGUUACGACUGGUCCAAGUGUUGUGCUCAAGCAUAUUAAUUAGAAGGCCUCUAUACCGAUCAACGUAGAUAUAUUUUGAUCGUGCAAAGAGUAAGGAGUGUUAUCGUUUUAAAUCUUUUUUGUACUAAUUAGCAACUGAUAUAUGUAAUUGAAGUUUUUUUUAUCUCAUCUAUUUGUUUGUUUACGUUUUCAAUGCUUCUGAUCACAUUAAAAUUUCAUGCUUCUACAUUUUAUGAACAUUUUAAUAUAGAUUUAUUUGAUAUAUAUACGUGAUAACUUUUAUUUUAUGUAUACUAAUUUUGGCUGAAGUCAUGAGUUCAUACCAAAAUUAAAAAAAUCCAUUUUUAAUUUACUUUCUGAUGGGACUAAAGUUUUCGUACUUUCGAUAAGACAGCAACUACGAGCUUAAGUCAAAUUUCAGAAACUGGUCCCCACUUCAUUUUACUGAUUGGUCCCUUAUUACAACCAAUAAUGUAAAUGUAAUUUGUACGGUUGGAUUCUCUUAUCUGAUCAGCAUGCCAUUUCUUUUAGGGACCACAGUUAGCUGAAAAGUGCUAUCUCGAUACGUGUCCAUCGAUAUUUUUGGCCGAGUUUAACGACGUCAGUAAUGGUCCCCCUUCCUCCUUGCUUUCG
This 31761-nucleotide long non-coding RNA is filed under the name Brassica napus (rape). RNAcentral describes it as "long non-coding RNA (BNAP_LNC012667)". Lineage: Eukaryota; Viridiplantae; Streptophyta; Magnoliopsida; Brassicales; Brassicaceae. The record is from RNAcentral.